GACGCCCCUAAUCCAGCCCACAUCCCCUGUCUCAAAUUUAUUUUCCCCCCCCAAAAAAAAUAAAUCAUUCUUGAUCUAAAGUAAAUGCGAUUGAAAAAGAAAAACUUGGAGCCUUAUUAAUAGUACCGUAAGGGAAAGAUGAAAUAGAAAUUAAACAAAUAUUUAAGCAACAAACAGUAGAGACUUCAACUCGUACCUUUUGCAUUAUGGUUUAACUAGUCCAACCAGGCAAAAAGAUCUUUAGUCUGACUUCCCGAAACUAAGUGAGCUACUCCAAGGUAACCCUAGAGUUAACCCGUCUCUGUGGCAAAAGAGUGGGAUAACCUUCGAGUAGAGGUGACAUACCUAUCGAACUUAGUAAUAGCUGGUUACUCAAGAAACGAAUUUAAGUUCCUUCUCAAGAGUAUUUAGCAUGCUUACAUUAAGCAAAUUUAACCUCUUAAGACCUAUUCAAUUAGGGUACAGCCUCAUUGAAAAAGGAUACAACCUAUUACUCAGGUUAAUGUUUUUAUAGACCUAGCAUAAGUUGGCCUAAGAGCAGCCACCUUUAAAAUAGCGUCAAAGCUUUCUCUACCGUCUUCUCAAAUCCCGUAAUCCCUACAGAACCCGAUACUAUUAUUGAGUCCUUCUAUACUUCUAUAGAAGUGUCUAUGUUAAAACUAGUAACACAGAACUUAUUCUCCCUAUGUAAGUGUAAAUCAGACAGAAUAAAUCACUGAUAAUUAUUCAGUUAUGAAUCUACUGUAAUAACCCCACUAGAAAACCCUACAACCCUUUACUGUUAACCUAACACAAGAACAUAAGAGAAAGAUUAAAAGAUAAGGAAGGAACUCGGCAAAUCUAAAUCCCGCCUGUUUACCAAAAACAUCGCCUUUUGCACACUAUAUAAGGUAAUGCCUGCCCAGUGACCAUGUGUUCAACGGCCGCGGUAUUCUGACCGCGCAAAGGUAGCGUAAUCACUUGUUUUUUAAAUAAAGACUAGUAUGAACGGCUUCACGAGGACUUGACUGUCUCCCUUUUCCAAUCAGUGAAACUAAUCUUCUCGUGCAGAAGCGAGAAUACACCCAUUAGACGAGAAGACCCUAUGGAGCUUUAAACUUUAUAUUAAUUAUUAUCACUCACAGAAAUAAACAAUAAAAAUUUUAACUUAAUUUAAGUUUUAGGUUGGGGCGACCAAGGAGAAAAAAAUAUCCUCCCUGAUGAUUUUUAAUUAAGAACCACAGUUCUAAGUAUUAAGACACUUAACUUCCAUUGACCCAUUUUUUGAUCAACGAACCAAGUUACCCUAGGGAUAACAGCGCUAUCCAUUUCAAGAGUUCAUAUCGACAAAUGGGUUUACGACCUCGAUGUUGGAUCAGGGUACCCAAG
Molecule: ribosomal RNA, 1368 nt
Filed under: Xenophrys serchhipii
Lineage: Eukaryota; Metazoa; Chordata; Amphibia; Anura; Megophryidae
Description: partial 16S ribosomal RNA
Rfam family: Bacterial large subunit ribosomal RNA
Source: RNAcentral